CUUUAUUUGGCAUUUCUUGCCAAGUGGAACAAAACACACAUUUCAGGAUCACCAGAGCAGAAAUCAGUGUGCAAGGCGAGUUUGGCUCUGAUGGAUACCUGUUGCUUUGAGGAGGGCUUCCAAG
This 124-nucleotide long non-coding RNA is filed under the name Macaca mulatta (Rhesus monkey). RNAcentral describes it as "lncRNA (ENSMMUG00000057730.1)". The record is from RNAcentral. Lineage: Eukaryota; Metazoa; Chordata; Mammalia; Primates; Cercopithecidae.